UGGGGAAUAUUGCACAAUGGGCGCAAGCCUGAUGCAGCCAUGCCGCGUGUAUGAAGAAGGCCUUCGGGUUGUAAAGUACUUUCAGCGGGGAGGAAGGCGAUAAGGUUAAUAACCUUGUCGAUUGACGUUACCCGCAGAAGAAGCACCGGCUAACUCCGUGCAAGCAGCCGCGGUAAUACGGAGGGGGCAAGCGUUAAUCGGAAUUACUGGGCGUAAAGCGCACGCAGGCGGUCUGUCAAGUCGGAUGUGAAAUCCCCGGGCUCAACCUGGGAACUGCAUUCGAAACUGGCAGGCUAGAGUCUUGUAGAGGGGGGUAGAAUUCCAGGUGUAGCGGUGAAAUGCGUAGAGAUCUGGAGGAAUACCGGUGGCGAAGGCGGCCCCCUGGACAAAGACUGACGCUCAGGUGCGAAAGCGUGGGGAGCAAACA
This 427-nucleotide ribosomal RNA is filed under the name uncultured bacterium. Its description in RNAcentral is "partial 16S ribosomal RNA". It matches the Rfam family "Bacterial small subunit ribosomal RNA", at positions 355 to 774 of the family's 1533-position model. The record is from RNAcentral.